Long non-coding RNA from Lagopus leucura (white-tailed ptarmigan), 357 nucleotides. RefSeq lists it as uncharacterized. The transcript is spliced from 3 exons. NCBI's taxonomy places the organism in Eukaryota, Metazoa, Chordata, Aves, Galliformes, Phasianidae. The record is from RefSeq and is a predicted model, not a curated record.
UUUGGCUGGUGGUGGGUGGUUGAGAGCAUCCUGCUUCUGAACAGGCUGGUUCUCCUUUGGAUCUUACAGAUGUUUUGUGAUUAUCUAUUGUUUAAAGGAACAGGGCUUGUGAGUGGAUUAAAAACUCACUGUUAUCUACAAAUGAAGCAUACUCCUACAAGGAGAGCUGAAAAGGAUGCAAAUCUAUUCUACAAUUUAAACUUGAACUGUUUAUGACAGAUGUAUAUUAAUAUAAAAUUCUUUUCUUAAUGCACACAUGGGCGAAGCAGAUUGCACAGAAAUUACUGGGCUAAUUAAAAUUGAGCGAAUGUUUUAAUUUCUGUUAAAUACAACAGCAUAUUUUCUACCUGCAUCAGC